UCCAGACUCCUACGGGAGGCAGCAGUGGGGGAUAUUGCACAAUGGGGGAAACCCUGAUGCAGCGACGCCGCGUGGGCGAAGAAGUAUUUCGGUAUGUAAAGCCCUCUCAGCAGGGAAGAAGAAAUGACGGUACCUGAGUAAGAAGCACCGGCUAAAUACGUGUCAGCAGCCGCGGUAAUACGUAUGGUGCAAGCGUUAUCCGGAUUUACUGGGUGUAAAGGGAGCGCAGGCGGCACGGCAAGCCUGAUGUGAAAGCCCGGGGCCCAACCGCGGGACUGCAUUGGGAACUGCCGGGCUGGAGUGCCGGAGAGGUAGGCGGAAUUCCUAGUGUAGCGGUGAAAUGCGUAGAUAUUAGGAGGAACACCAGUGGCGAGGGCGGCCUACUGGACGGUGACUGACGCUGAGGCUCGAAAGCGUGGGGAGCAAACAGGAUUAGAUACCCCAGUAU
This 448-nucleotide ribosomal RNA is filed under the name uncultured bacterium. Its description in RNAcentral is "bacterial SSU rRNA". It matches the Rfam family "Bacterial small subunit ribosomal RNA", at positions 330 to 793 of the family's 1533-position model. The record is from RNAcentral.